RNAcentral lists this long non-coding RNA (223 nucleotides) under Nicotiana benthamiana. RNAcentral's name for it is "long non-coding RNA (NBEN_LNC024714)". The record is from RNAcentral. Lineage: Eukaryota; Viridiplantae; Streptophyta; Magnoliopsida; Solanales; Solanaceae.
AUCUGGAAUUUUUCAAAAAUAACCAACAAUCGAUUGUCUAUGUCUAACAAUCGAUUGUCUUUAUACAGUGAGGUCUGGAAUUUAUCAAAAAUAACCAACAAUCGAUUGUCUAUGUCUAACAAUCGAUUGUCUUAAGACAGUGUGAUCUGAAGUUUUUCAAAAAUAGCAAAUAAUCGAUUGUGUGUGUUUAACAAUCGAUUGUCAAUGUUCAUCAAUCGAUUGU